UAUCUUUGGGGAAUGGUGAAAUUCCAUACCGGCGGUAUAGUCCGCGAACGCCACAUGGUGCCGAGCAGGUGUGAUUCCUGCACCGACAGUAUAGUCUGGAUGAGAAAAGAU
RNAcentral lists this non-coding RNA (111 nucleotides) under human gut metagenome. Its description in RNAcentral is "FMN riboswitch (RFN element)". It matches the Rfam family "FMN riboswitch aptamer (RFN element)". From Rfam's summary of the family: The RFN element is a highly conserved domain that is found frequently in the 5'-untranslated regions of prokaryotic mRNAs that encode for flavin mononucleotide (FMN) biosynthesis and transport proteins. This element is a metabolite-dependent riboswitch that directly binds FMN in the absence of proteins. In Bacillus subtilis, the riboswitch most likely controls gene expression by causing premature transcription termination within the 5' untranslated region of the ribDEAHT operon and precluding access to the ribosome-binding site of ypaA mRNA. The record is from RNAcentral.